This 454-nucleotide ribosomal RNA is filed under the name uncultured bacterium. RNAcentral's name for it is "bacterial SSU rRNA". It matches the Rfam family "Bacterial small subunit ribosomal RNA", at positions 335 to 781 of the family's 1533-position model. The record is from RNAcentral.
ACUCCUACGGGAGGCAGCAGUGGGGAAUAUUGCACAAUGGGCGCAAGCCUGAUGCAGCCAUGCCGCGUGUGUGAAGAAGGCUUUCGGGUUGUAAAGCACUUUCAGUUGUGAGGAAAGGUUAGUCGCUAAUAUCGGCUAGCUGUGACGUUAGCAACAGAAGAAGCACCGGCUAACUCCGUGCCAGCAGCCGCGGUAAUACGGAGGGUGCGAGCGUUAAUCGGAAUUAUUGGGUUUAAAGGGUCCGUAGGCGGGCCGGUAAGUCAGGGGUGAAAGUCUGUAGCUCAACUAUAGAACUGCCUUUGAUACUGCCGGUCUUGAGUCACGGUGAAGUUGCCGGAAUAUGUGGUGUAGCGGUGAAAUGCAUAGAUAUCACAUAGAACACCGAUUGCGAAGGCAGGUGACUAACCGUGUACUGACGCUGAUGGACGAAAGCGUGGGGAGCGAACAGGAUUAG